GAUGAACGCUGGCGGCGUGCCUAAUACAUGCAAGUCGAGCGCACGGACGAGAAGCUUGCUCUUCUGAUGUUAGCGGCGGACGGGUGAGUAACACGUGGAUAACCUGCCUUUAAGACGGGGAUAACUUCGGGAAACGGUAGCUAAUACCGGAUAAUAUUUGAAACCGCAUGGUUCAAAAGUGAAAGACGGUCUUGCUGUCACUUAUAGAUGGAUCCGCGCUGCAUUAGCUAGAGGGGAAGGUAACGGCUUACCAAGGCAACGAAGAAUAGCCGACCUGAAGGGGUGAUCGGCCACACGGGAACUGGGACACGGUCCAGACUCCUACGGGAGGCAGCAGUAGGGAAUCUUCGGAAAUGGGGGAAAGCCUGACGGAGCAAGGCGCGGUAAGGGAGGAGGGUUUUCGAUUCUUAAACCCCUGUUUAAAGGGAAGAAGAUAUGUGUAAGUAACAGUGCACACCGUGACGGUAGCUAAUCAGAAAGCCACGGCUAACUACGUG
Molecule: ribosomal RNA, 497 nt
Filed under: uncultured bacterium
Lineage: Bacteria
Description: partial 16S ribosomal RNA
Rfam family: Bacterial small subunit ribosomal RNA
Source: RNAcentral